Molecule: ribosomal RNA, 911 nt
Filed under: uncultured archaeon
Lineage: Archaea
Description: bacterial SSU rRNA
Rfam family: Archaeal small subunit ribosomal RNA
Source: RNAcentral
CGGUUGAUCCUGCCGGAGGUUACUGCUAUCGAGGUUCGACUAAGCCAUGCGAGUCGAAUGUAGCAAUACAUGGCGUACUGCUCAGUAACACGUGGACAACCUACCCUUGGGACGGGGAUAAACCCGGGAAACUGGGUAUAAUACCCGAUAGAUCUCGAAUGCUGGAAUGCAUCGAGUUCGAAAGUUCCGGCGCCCAAGGAUGGGUCUGCGGCCUAUCAGGUAGUAGUGGGUGUAGCGUACCUACUAGCCUACGACGGGUACGGGUUGUGAGAGCAAGAGCCCGGAGAUGGAUUCUGAGACACGAAUCCAGGCCCUACGGGGUGCAGCAGGCGCGAAAACUUUACAAUGCUGGAAACAGCGAUAAGGGAACCUCGAGUGCCAGGUUACAAAUCUGGCUGUCGUGAUGCCUAAAAAGCAUUGCAUAGCAAGGGCCGGGCAAGACCGGUGCCAGCCGCCGCGGUAACACCGGCGGCUCGAGUGGUAACCGUUAUUAUUGGGUCUAAAGGGUCUGUAGCCGGCCGGAUAAGUCUCUUGGGAAAUCUGGCAGCUUAACUGUCAGGCUUUCAGGGGAUACUGUCUGGCUCGAGGCCGGGAGAGGUGAGAGGUACUUCAGGGGUAGGGGUGAAAUCUUGUAAUCCUUGAAGGACCACCAGUGGCGAAGGCGUCUCACCAGAACGGACCUGACGGCAAGGGACGAAAGCUAGGGGCACGAACCGGAUUAGAUACCCGGGUAGUCCUAGCCGUAAACGAUACUCGCUAGGUGUCGGCCACGGUGCGACCGUGGUCGGUGCCGUAGGGAAGCCGUGAAGCGAGCCACCUGGGAAGUACGGCCGCAAGGCUGAAACUUAAAGGAAUUGGCGGGGGAGCACCACAACGGGUGGAGCUUGCGGUUUAAUUGGAUUCAACGCCGG